GACGAACGCUGGCGGCGUGCUUAACACAUGCAAGUCGAACGGAAAGGCCCUGCUUUUGUGGGGUGCUCGAGUGGCGAACGGGUGAGUAACACGUGAGUAACCUGCCCUUGACUUUGGGAUAACUUCAGGAAACUGGGGCUAAUACCGGAUAGGAGCUCCUGCUGCAUGGUGGGGGUUGGAAAGUUUCGGCGGUUGGGGAUGGACUCGCGGCUUAUCAGCUUGUUGGUGGGGUAGUGGCUUACCAAGGCUUUGCCGGGUAGCCGGCCUGGGAGGGUGACCGGCCACAUUGGGACUGAGAUACGGCCCAGCCUCCUACGGGAGGCAGCAGUGGGGAAUAUUGCCCUAUGGGCGGAAGCCUGAUGCAGCAACGCCGCGUGCGGGAUGACGGCCUUCGGGUUGUAAACCGCUUUCGCCUGUGCCGAAGCGUGAGUGACGGUAAUGGGUAAAGAAGCACCGGCUAACUACGUG
This 468-nucleotide ribosomal RNA is filed under the name uncultured bacterium. RNAcentral describes it as "partial 16S ribosomal RNA". It matches the Rfam family "Bacterial small subunit ribosomal RNA", at positions 28 to 507 of the family's 1533-position model. The record is from RNAcentral.